AGUGAACGCUGGCGGUAGGCCUAACACAUGCAAGUCGAACGGCAGCACAGUAAGAGCUUGCUCUUACGGGUGGCGAGUGGCGGACGGGUGAGGAAUACAUCGGAAUCUACUUUUUCGUGGGGGAUAACGUAGGGAAACUUACGCUAAUACCGCAUACGACCUACGGGUGAAGUCAGGGGAUCUUCGGACCUUGCGCGAAUGAAUGAGCCGAGGUCGGAUUAGCCAGUUGGCGGGGUAAAGGCCCACCAAGGCGACGAUCCGUAGCUGGUCUGAGAGGAUGAUCAGCCACACUGGAACUGAGACACGGUCCAGACUCCUACGGGAGGCAGCAGUGGGGAAUAUUGGACAAUGGGCGCAAGCCUGAUCCAGCCAUACCGCGUGGGUGAAGAAGGCCUUCGGGUUGUAAAGCCCUUUGGUUGGGAAAGAAAAGCAGCAGGUUAAUACCCCGCUGUUCUGACGGUACCCAAAGAAUAAGCACCGGCUAACUUCGUG
Molecule: ribosomal RNA, 492 nt
Filed under: uncultured bacterium
Lineage: Bacteria
Description: partial 16S ribosomal RNA
Rfam family: Bacterial small subunit ribosomal RNA
Source: RNAcentral